This 879-nucleotide ribosomal RNA is filed under the name Triticum aestivum (bread wheat). Its description in RNAcentral is "partial small subunit ribosomal RNA". The record is from RNAcentral. Lineage: Eukaryota; Viridiplantae; Streptophyta; Magnoliopsida; Poales; Poaceae.
AUGCUGAGCGAUCCAGGUGUCGUCACCAACACCGUGCACCGGCGUCGGCUUGACUUCAUGCUCACCGAAGACAGAGGCAGCGACCAUUGGCUUCACUUCGCGCUCACCAAAGACAGAGGCAGCAACCAUUGGCUUUACUUCACGCUCACCGGAGACAGAGGCAGCGACCAUUGGCCUCACUUCACGCUCACCGAAGACAGAGGCAGGGACCAUUGGCUUUACUUCACGCUCAUGGAAGACAGAGGCAGCGACCAUUGGCUUCACUUCGCGUUCACCGAAGACAGAAGCAGCGACCAUUGGCUUUACUUCACGCUCAUCGGAGACAGAGGCGGUGAUCACCGGCUUUAUUUCAUGCUCAUCAAGGAUAGAGGCAGCAGCCAUCAUCGGCUUCACUCCAUGCUCAGUAAGGACAGAGGCAGCAGUGGCAGGAGAAGAAGACGGGGAAUGGCAUUGCACUGGCUGGGCGGUGGAGAUGAAGAAGGCAGAUGGGAAGUUGACGAUUGCGCGGGAGCCAUAGAUGGCCACGGCGGCCCUGUCGUAUGCGAGGGCGGCGUCAACGGCGGUGUCGAAGGUGCCCAGCCAGUGUCGCUUGCCGCGGUUGGGCUCACGGACUUCAGAGACCCACCUGCCCCACCUGCGCUGCCGAACACCCCGGUACAUGUGGUCCCUAUCCUCCGGACCACCCUCCCCUCCAGGAGGAGACGCCACUGGAGUCUUGAUUCUCAGCGUGGCACUGCUCUUGGGACGAGCUCGCUUUGUCCUGAUCGUACUGCACGCAAAGAGCGAAAUGCACAUCUCAGAUGUCUUGCAAACUGCGAUAAACAAGGCCAUGCCGGUGUUCUAGGAAUGGUUAAUCAACAAAUGUCAGCAUGGAUAUGA